ACGUCAAAUCAUCAUGGCCCUUAUGCCUGGGCAACACACGUGCUACAAUGGCUGUAACAAAGCGACGCAAGCGCGCGAGCGCAAGCAAAACGCAAAAAGGCAGUCUCAGUUCGGAUUGUAGUCUGCAACUCGACUAUAUGAAGCCGGAAUCGCUAGUAAUCGCGAAUCAGCAUGUCGCGGUGAAUACGUUCCCGGGCCUU
Molecule: ribosomal RNA, 200 nt
Filed under: uncultured prokaryote
Description: partial 16S ribosomal RNA
Rfam family: Bacterial small subunit ribosomal RNA
Source: RNAcentral